CCGCUGAAAGCAUCUAAGUGGGAAACUCGCCCUAAGAUUAGAUCCCUGUAUUCCCGUAAGGGAGUAAGACCCCAGGUAGACUACCUGGUAUAUAGGCAGGAUGUGUAAGCGCAGCAAUGCGUUCAGCUAACCUGUACUAAUGGUCGAGGGCUUCAACCAU
RNAcentral lists this ribosomal RNA (160 nucleotides) under Chloroflexi bacterium CFX5. RNAcentral's name for it is "partial 23S ribosomal RNA". It matches the Rfam family "Bacterial large subunit ribosomal RNA", at positions 2768 to 2925 of the family's 2925-position model. Lineage: Bacteria; Bacillati; Chloroflexota. The record is from RNAcentral.